ACAGGAUGGCCGAAUGCCUGCAGCAGCCCAGGCCAGGCUUGCAAAACGGCCACGGAUACGGUCCGGCGGCAUGUCGGUCAGCAGGAAGAUCUGGGCCGCUCUGUCCAGCCUGGCCCGGCAGUGGACCCUGGAGGAUGAGUUGGAACAGGAGCGAGAACGCCGGCGGCGACACCGGACCAAAGCUUCGCCAUGGACGACGAGGACCCGUCGGCCCCUGAGAGACUGCUGAGCGUGGAGGAAGCAGAGGGGCCCCGGCCCCAGGCCCCAGAGAUGAGGAGGAUGUCUGGGCCGUCCUAAGGAUGCGGCAGGAGAGGAGGCAGAGGCGCCGGGAGGCCCGCGUCCCAGAGCCGCAGGCCAGGCAGUCGCCCCCGGCGCCCGAGGAAUAGGUGCAGUCGCCGUCGGGCCGGAGACUGAGCCCAGAGAGCGGCUCCGCGAGGAGGGGGGUCUGGGGGGGCAGGGCGCCUGCGGGCUCCGAGAAGCCGUCUGCUGCGAAGACACUUGAGCCGAAAGCGAGCCUGGACCCUGAGACCCCCAGCCCCAGUAAAUGUUCCAUGUCCCAGAAGAUCGCUGUGCUGGCAAAGAGAACCGUCUCAGGAAAGAGGGCGGUUCCAGACAAAGCCAGCGUCUCGGAGAAGAGAAUGGUGUCUUAGAAAGCCACCGUCUUCGAGAAGACCCCGGCCCCCGAGACUCAGUCGGCCCCAGGCAGGGCCAUGGCCACAGCGCGGUGCACUCGUCCAGCCCGGGGGGCAGCAGGGUGCUGGGCCUGAGAAGGAGCCCGAGUUCUCGGCUGGGCCUCUGCCCCGGGCUGGCGGCCUCCCGCCCGUCACUCUGCACGGAUGCUGAGGCCGAGGUCCCCUCGCCGACACGGGCCUCGCCCACCUUCAGCAGCGCCCUGCAGCGCUCCAGCCCACGCACCACCUCCUUCCGGAUGAGCCCCCGGAGAGACAGCUCAGAGGCGGCCUUAACCCGCAGCGCCAGCGUGAGGCUCCCGGCCAGCUCGGUCAAAUUAGGCCCGAAGCUGGAGCGAUACCACACGGCCAUACAGAGAUCAGAGUCCGUCAAGUGUGCAAGCCCGUCCCGCACUGAGUUCCUCGUGGCUCCCGUGGAUGUCGCCAGCAAGCGCCACCUCUUCGAGAAAGAGCUGGUGGGCCAGAGCCGAGAGGGUCCAGCCUCCGGCCGCAAGGAGAACUUGCAGCUCUCAAGGGUGGUGACAUCGCGGCUCAACCUGUGGAUCAGCAGGACCCAGGAGUCAGCACAGCAGGGCCCGCAGAACCAGGAGACGCAGAGGGAGUCGGCAGCUGGCAGGAGCCCCCGCUGGGUGCCGAGGUGUGAGGAGCCAGUCUCAGGCCAACAGCCGCGCCGGUCGCCUUUCCCGCCCGCUUUCCGCCCUGGACCCGGGAGGACGCUGGCCGGCAUCCUCCCCGCCCCUCUGGGGCAGGCGUGCCCCGCGCCUUGUCCGGUUGCGGGCACUGCACGACUACACACAGCCUCGCCACCCUGUCCACGCGGACUCCUGCUCUUCCUCCUCCUCCGGGGCCGUCGGGUCGCACCGGUGUCUACGUGCACCUCUCUCAGGCUGGCCCCCACCGUCCCUGCGCCGCCUACCAGGCUGGAGAAGCCGCACUGA
Odocoileus virginianus texanus is the source of this 1627-nucleotide non-coding RNA. The record is from RefSeq and is a predicted model, not a curated record. NCBI's taxonomy places the organism in Eukaryota, Metazoa, Chordata, Mammalia, Artiodactyla, Cervidae.